GAUGCAACGCGAAGAACCUUACCUACUCUUGACAUCCAGAGAAGCCAGCGGAGACGCAGGUGUGCCUUCGGGAACUCUGAGACAGGUGCUGCAUGGCUGUCGUCAGCUCGUGUUGUGAAAUGUUGGGUUAAGUCCCGCAACGAGCGCAACCCUUAUCCUUGUUUGCCAGCGAGUAAUGUCGGGAACUCCAGGGAGACUGCCGGUGAUAAACCGGAGGAAGGUGGGGACGACGUCAAGUCAUCAUGGCCCUUACGAGUAGGGCUACACACGUGCUACAAUGGCGCAUACAGAGGGCAGCAAGCUAGCGAUAGUGAGCGAAUCCCAAAAAGUGCGUCGUAGUCCGGAUUGGAGUCUGCAACUCGACUCCAUGAAGUCGGAAUCGCUAGUAAUCG
This 392-nucleotide ribosomal RNA is filed under the name Vibrio sp. RNAcentral's name for it is "bacterial SSU rRNA". It matches the Rfam family "Bacterial small subunit ribosomal RNA", at positions 953 to 1344 of the family's 1533-position model. Lineage: Bacteria; Pseudomonadati; Pseudomonadota; Gammaproteobacteria; Vibrionales; Vibrionaceae. The record is from RNAcentral.